This 45-nucleotide non-coding RNA is filed under the name Schistosoma curassoni. Lineage: Eukaryota; Metazoa; Platyhelminthes; Trematoda; Strigeidida; Schistosomatidae. The record is from RNAcentral.
ACCCACCUGACGAGUCCCAAAUAGGACGAAACACGCGUCCUGGAU